This 495-nucleotide ribosomal RNA is filed under the name uncultured bacterium. RNAcentral's name for it is "bacterial SSU rRNA". It matches the Rfam family "Bacterial small subunit ribosomal RNA", at positions 29 to 517 of the family's 1533-position model. The record is from RNAcentral.
AUUGAACGCUGGCGGCGUGCCUAACACAUGCAAGUCGAGCGGUAACAGGUGUAGCAAUACAUGCUGACGAGCGGCGGACGGGUGAGUAACGCUUGGGAAUCUGCCUAUUAGUGGGGGACAACCCGGGGAAACUCGGGCUAAUACCGCAUACGCUCUACGGAGGAAAGCCGGGGACCGCAAGGCCUGGCGCUAAUAGAUGAGCCCAAGUCGGAUUAGCUAGUUGGUAGGGUAAGGCCUACCAAGGCGACGAUCCGUAACUGGUCUGAGAGGACGACCAGUCACACCGGAACUGAGACACGGUCCGGACUCCUACGGGAGGCAGCAGUGGGGAAUAUUGGACAAUGGGCGAAAGCCUGAUCCAGCGACGCCGCGUGGGUGAAGAAGGCCUGCGGGUUGUAAAGCCCUUUCAGUGGGGAAGAAAAGCCUCGACCUAACACGUCGGGGUCUUGACGUAACCCAUAGAAGAAGCACCGGCUAACUCUGUGCCAGCAGCCG